This 253-nucleotide ribosomal RNA is filed under the name uncultured bacterium. RNAcentral's name for it is "partial 16S ribosomal RNA". It matches the Rfam family "Bacterial small subunit ribosomal RNA", at positions 524 to 776 of the family's 1533-position model. The record is from RNAcentral.
UACGUAGGUGGCAAGCGUUGUCCGGAUUUACUGGGCGUAAAGGAUGCGUAGGCGGAUACUUAAGUCAGAUGUGAAAUUCCCGGGCUCAACUUGGGAGCUGCAUUUGAAACUGGGUAUCUAGAGUGCGGGAGAGGAGAGUGGAAUUCCUAGUGUAGCGGUGAAAUGCGUAGAGAUUAGGAAGAACACCAGUGGCGAAGGCGACUCUCUGGACCGUAAAUGACGCUGAGGCAUGAAAGCGUGGGGAGCAAACAGG